Molecule: ribosomal RNA, 447 nt
Filed under: uncultured bacterium
Lineage: Bacteria
Description: partial 16S ribosomal RNA
Rfam family: Bacterial small subunit ribosomal RNA
Source: RNAcentral
AACGAACGCUGGCGGCAGGCUUAACACAUGCAAGUCGAACGCACCGCAAGGUGAGUGGCAGACGGGUGAGUAACACGUUGGGAUCUGCCCAAUGGUACGGAAUAGCUCCGGGAAACUGGAAUUAAUACCGUAUGUGCCCUUCGGGGGAAAGAUUUAUCGCCAUUGGAUGAACCCGCGUCGGAUUAGCUAGUUGGUGAGGUAAAGGCUCACCAAGGCGACGAUCCGUAGCUGGUCUGAGAGGAUGAUCAGCCACACUGGGACUGAGACACGGCCCAGAUUCCUACGGGGGGCCGCCGUGGGGAAUAUUGGAAAAUGGGCUCAAGCCGGAUCCAGCCAUGCCGCGUGAGUGAUGAAGGCCUUAGGGUUGUAAAGCUCUUUCGCCGACGAAGAUAAUGCCGGUAGUCGGAGAAGAAGCCCCGGCUAACUUCGUGCCAGCCGCCGCAGUAA